UUUUAAUAUUUUUCUUAUAUCUCUGCUUAUUUUCAGUGCCAAACAUUGUUUUCAAAUACAGUUGGCUUGGAAAUGAGUACUUGAAGCUGCAAGCUUGUCAGCAAACUACCAUGUUUCCAGAGUUGACUUUUGACGUACAAGCUGUUCUCACAGAGAGAUGGCUGAUGUAUUGAGCUCAACACAGAGAGUGAGUGCAUACCCUAUUCUGAAAACUCACCAUUAGGGAGAAAAAUCAUCUUGGGAUGUACAAUUUAUGGAUGCAUCUGAGAAGAAAAGAAUGCCAGUGCAGCAUGAACGUCCUGUUCUCUCAUGAUGUAAGAAACUGGGUCCUUGUGAGGUUAAACCACCCUUUCCCCUUGAAACAGCACAUAUUAAGAAUGCAAAGGAGCACAGAUAUGAAAGCAAAACAUCAUCAAGGAGAACAGAAUAUCAGAUGCUCUCAUCUUACUCCUUUUCACUGAGAAGCAUUUCUUCUUCCUCAAUAAAUCUCCAUCAUUACUUUUUUUAAAGCUUCA
Molecule: long non-coding RNA, 515 nt
Filed under: Numida meleagris (helmeted guineafowl)
Lineage: Eukaryota; Metazoa; Chordata; Aves; Galliformes; Numididae
Description: lncRNA (ENSNMEG00000009771.1)
Source: RNAcentral